AAUAUUUUUUUUCGUGAUAAAAGAAAACAAAAAAAAAUAUAAUGGCACACCCAUCAUGAUUAAAAGAAAGAGACAGCGAUAUUCUUGAUGGCAAACCAGCAAAUUCUAACGUUUAUACCCCAGAAAAUCUAUUAUUCCAUUCUGCUUAAGCCAGCAACUUCAUACUCAAAGGAUAUCGUUUUUUUUUUUCUUCUGUCAAUAGAAAUUGAUUUUUAUCAUGUCUUUUAUUAAAAUUGAUUUCACUGGUGAAUCAAUCAUGGACUAAAAGUAUACGAUGGAACAGAAGAUGGAAUACUCUCUCUGGAAGAAUUGAUGGUCAGAGCAAAUUACUUCAAAUUUUCCCAACAAAAUGCUUACAAUUUUAUAUGUUCAUUACCGCCGGGAAUAUCUAAUCCUAAUGUUCUAUAUUUUCCAGGUAUUUUUGGAAAUAAACAUUUUUGGAAAAUUCGGCUCGAAAAGUUGCUCGGGGCGCCCCUGAAGGACAUUUGCUAUACGGACCCAGUUUUGGCUAAGGGGCACCUUCUUUGUUUUUUCCACCCUACCUGCUAUCAUCACCCCAAGACCGGAUAAGGGACACUUCUUCUUCUUCACGGGAGACAGAAAAUUGGCGGAAUUCUUCAGUUCAAAUAUUUUGUUACGGCGAAUUUCUGGUGGAAGAUUUUGAGGCGAUUAAUUGAGACUCAAUGCCCGAUUUUGAUUGUUACAACCCUGUUUCGAUUAGACAAGGGUGGUAAUGUGUUUUAUCUCGACAAAUUUGGGUUGUGUGCGUGGGAAUGACGUGAAACAUGAUUGAGAGACUCACGGGAUUAUGUUGGAUUCGUUUUGGAAAGUUGGAGCGAGUAUAUAGCGUUGUCAUCUCAUUCUGGAACGUGUAUCAAUCAAUUUGGAGUGUGUAAACAACAGCUAGCUGCUUGAGAAGUUAAAACAGGGAAGAAAUUCCCGUAUCUUGCAUGUAAAUAAUUUUUAUUGAUUAUCAGGUAAUGGAGGAUAUUUGGGGAGUGAUGAGCGAGAUUUCUUGGUCCUGUUUGCUAUAAGAACACAGAA
Molecule: long non-coding RNA, 1044 nt
Organism: Papaver somniferum (opium poppy)
Lineage: Eukaryota; Viridiplantae; Streptophyta; Magnoliopsida; Ranunculales; Papaveraceae
Exons: 4
Source: RefSeq, a predicted model, not a curated record